This 374-nucleotide ribosomal RNA is filed under the name uncultured organism. RNAcentral describes it as "partial 16S ribosomal RNA". It matches the Rfam family "Bacterial small subunit ribosomal RNA", at positions 527 to 896 of the family's 1533-position model. The record is from RNAcentral.
GUAGGUGGCAAGCGUUGUCCGGAAUUAUUGGGCGUAAAGCGCGCGCAGGCGGUUCUUUAAGUCUGAUGUGAAAGCCCACGGCUCAACCGUGGAGGGUCAUUGGAAACUGGAGAACUUGAGUACAGAAGAGGAAAGCGUAAUUCCACGUGUAGCGGUGAAAUGCGUAGAGAUGUGGAGGAACACCAGUGGCGAAGGCGGCUUUCUGGUCUGUAACUGACGCUGAGGCGCGAAAGCGUGGGGAGCAAACAGGAUUAGAUACCCUGGUAGUCCACGCCGUAAACGAUGAGUGCUAAGUGUUAGGGGGGUUUCCGCCCCCCUUAGUGCUGCAGCUAACGCAUUAAGUACUCCGCCUGGGGAGUACGGCCGCAAGGCUG